RNAcentral lists this ribosomal RNA (372 nucleotides) under uncultured bacterium. Its description in RNAcentral is "bacterial SSU rRNA". It matches the Rfam family "Bacterial small subunit ribosomal RNA", at positions 524 to 898 of the family's 1533-position model. The record is from RNAcentral.
UACGGAGGAUCCAAGCGUUAUCCGGAUUUAUUGGGUUUAAAGGGUGCGCAGGCGGAAUGAUAAGUCAGUGGUGAAAUCUUACGGCUCAACUGUAAAACUGCCAUUGAUACUGUCGUUCUUGAGUAUAGUUGAAGUGGGCGGAAUGUGUCAUGUAGCGGUGAAAUGCAUAGAUAUGACACAGAACACCGAUUGCGAAGGCAGCUCACUAAACUGUAACUGACGCUCAUGCACGAAAGCGUGGGGAGCAAACAGGAUUAGAUACCCUGGUAGUCCACGCCGUAAACGAUGAUCACUCGAUGUUGGCGAUACACAGUCAGCGUCUGAGCGAAAGCAUUAAGUGAUCCACCUGGGGAGUACGAUCGCAAGGUUGAA